GUAGGUGGCAAGCGUUGUCCGGAAUUAUUGGGCGUAAAGCGCGCGCAGGCGGUCCUUUAAGUCUGAUGUGAAAGCCCACGGCUCAACCGUGGAGGGUCAUUGGAAACUGGGGGACUUGAGUACAGAAGAGGAAAGCGGAAUUCCAAGUGUAGCGGUGAAGUGCGUAGAGAUUUGGAGGAACACCAGUGGCGAAGGCGGCUUUCUGGUCUGUAACUGACGCUGAGGCGCGAAAGCGUGGGGAGCAAACAGGGAUUAGAUACCCUGGUAGUCCACGCCGUAAACGAUGAGUGCUAAGUGUUAGGGGGUUUCCCGCCCCUUAGUGCUGCAGCUAACGCAUUAAGCACUCCGCCUGGGGAGUACGGCCGCAAGGCUG
RNAcentral lists this ribosomal RNA (373 nucleotides) under uncultured organism. RNAcentral's name for it is "partial 16S ribosomal RNA". It matches the Rfam family "Bacterial small subunit ribosomal RNA", at positions 527 to 896 of the family's 1533-position model. The record is from RNAcentral.